This 574-nucleotide ribosomal RNA is filed under the name Triglyphus escalerai. RNAcentral describes it as "partial 28S ribosomal RNA". Lineage: Eukaryota; Metazoa; Arthropoda; Insecta; Diptera; Syrphidae. The record is from RNAcentral.
CCCGAUGAACCUGAAUAUCCGUUAUGGAAAAUUCAUCAUUAAUAUUAUUAUAUUUAAAAAUAUAAUAAAAAUAGUGUGCAAUUUUUCCAUAUAAGGACAUUGUAAUCUGUUAAUGUAUUAAAUAUUUAUCAAAAAAUCUAUAACAUAAGUUUAUUCAAAUUAGUUAUUUUCGAAUUUCUAACAUAGAAUAAUUGUAUUAGAUUUGAUAAAUCAUUGACAGAUUUUAUUAUAUAUAAUGCUUAAAUUCUUUUUGAAUUUUAUAAUUUUAUUGAAAAUAUAUUUUUAUAUAAAAUUAUAUGCAUUUAUACGAUUAACAAUGCGAUAGAUUCAGGAUACCUUCGGGACCCGUCUUGAAACACGGACCAAGGAGUCUAACAUAUGUGCAAGUCAUUGGGUAUUUUUAAUAAAACCCAAUGGCAUAAUUAACUUAACUGUUUUUUUUAAUGGGAUUAGUUUAUAUUUUAUUAUGAAUUAUAAAUUCAAUCCCGGGGCGUUCUAUAUAGUUAUGCAUAAUAGUAUUUAUAUUAUUUAUGCCUCUAACUAGAGCGUACCUUGAGCAUAUAUGCUGUGACCC